UGCCAGCAGCCGCGGUAAUACGAAGGGACCUAGCGUAGUUCGGAAUUACUGGGCUUAAAGAGUUCGUAGGUGGUUGAAAAAGUUAGUGGUGAAAUCCCAGAGCCUAACUCAGGAACUGCAUUCGAUACUGGAUCGCUAGAGUAUAUUAGAGGAUAGUGGAAUUUCAAGUGUAGCGGUGAAAUGCGUAGAUAUUUGAAGGAACACCAAUGGCGAAGGCAGCUAUCUGGAAUAAUACUGACGCUGAGGUACGAAAGCGUGGGGAGCAAACAGGAUUAGAUA
RNAcentral lists this ribosomal RNA (279 nucleotides) under uncultured bacterium. Its description in RNAcentral is "partial 16S ribosomal RNA". It matches the Rfam family "Bacterial small subunit ribosomal RNA", at positions 506 to 784 of the family's 1533-position model. The record is from RNAcentral.